This 2288-nucleotide long non-coding RNA is filed under the name Amborella trichopoda. RNAcentral's name for it is "long non-coding RNA (ATRI_LNC003621)". The record is from RNAcentral. Lineage: Eukaryota; Viridiplantae; Streptophyta; Magnoliopsida; Amborellales; Amborellaceae.
UACAUCUCUUGAUAAGACAAAUUACAGUGGCAAAUUCUUACAAAGUAACAAAAGAAAGUUUAAGCACAACUACAAUAUCUUCCAGAGUUGAUCCUGACGAACACUCAAAAUGAAACUGCAGUUAUCCUGAAAAAAUGUUUACCAUAAUUUGAUGAGUUUGGCUACUCAGUAAGUGAUCAUCAUAAUCCUAAAAAUAAUCAUGGUUGAAAGAUAUCAAUAUUUUCAAAAAAGAGAUCUAUUAACAGAAAUGCAUUAACAGUUUCACUUUCAAAAAUGCAUAAUUAAGUAUAAUCCGAAUAAUUGAAAUGCAUAUAACAUUUUAACGGCAGUGCAUAAUUCAAAGGAUUUCACAAAUUACCCUACUGGCGCUCCAAGUAGGUCACCUAUAUACCCCAUCAGCGUCCUGAUGGGUCCACUUAAUCCCUAUCGACAUCCCAGAUAGGUCCACUUAAUCCCUACAGGUCCACUUAUACCGCACCGGCGUACCGGAUGAGUCCACUUAAUCCCUACCGGCAUACCGGAUAGGUCCACUUAUACCUCACCGGCGAACCAGAUGAGUCCACUUGCAUACUUAAACUAUUUCUAAAUUUCUUUAAACAUUUGAAAGCAGCAAUAUCAUGUACUCAACGUAUCACUGAAAUUAUUAAUAUGAAUUUCACUGAAACCAUUAAUAGCAGUCACUUUCAAAAACAUUUCAAAAAUAACCAGUCAAAUAUUUUGGGCUCAAAUUUAGAAAGGUAGCCGUUCGUAAAGACAUUUUAGCAUAAUUGCCAAUCUAAUAUGUAUAGAAAAACUCUUAUAGAAAUUCAAGAAUACGGAAUUAUCACAAUUUAUGGGAUGUUAAUUCGCAAAUAAACAUUUCACAGACAAUGCUAUAAUCAAUUGCAAAAUAUAAACUUUCAAAUAAUAAGGCAGUCAUUUGUACAUGAAAUUUACAAUGUCUAAAUAUUCAAAACCAGUAGAAAGAAAUCUCACAAUUUUACUAAAAGCAGGAACAUCACAUUUAUUAUUAAUAAUUUUACAGUAUCUAAAAUUUUCUAACAAUAGACAAGAAAAAUAAAUAAAUUUAUUUUUCUAAGAAUUUACAGCAUUUAAGAUUUCUAACAUAGAUAAAAUAGCACAAUUUUAUUAAAAAGAUUAUUUUUCAAAAUAAUGAGGUCACUUGCGCAUAAAAUUUAUCGCGCCUAAAAUUCAUGAUAAUAAGCAGAAGUAAUUAUUUCAUUUCAUUUUUAAGAAAAACGGAUUAUUUUUCAAGAUAAUGAAGUCACUUACCUAAAAUAUUUGAGAAGGAGCUUUUGAUAAAAAUUCGGCUAGAGAGAGAAAGAGCUCACUGUGUUUUGACUAGAGAGAGAAAGAUCUCAAAAAAAUUUUAGGGUGGGAGUCCUCGCCUCUCCUAUUUAAAUUAUUAAGAUACCUUAUUAUAUUAUCUUAUUAAGUUACACCUCAUACAUGAGGUGUAACAAUUAUAUUACACCUGAACGUUUAAAGCCCACGUCCACCAAAGGACGUGGCAAGGCAGCAAAAGCUUAAACCAAAAGCUUUUGAAAGUAGUGAUGGUCCCUAAGGACCAUCAUGCUCAUAUGGACCGUCACUUAUUAAAAGUUUCUUUCUUUUUUUUUUUUUUAAAUUUUAGGAUUAUUACAAUGAAACUCGAGAAUUUUCCACAAGAAGGAGCGGACCAUAUGGACCACCGCUCAGCACAUUAGAGGCCUAGCUAUAUUAUGGGCCACAAAAAAGAGCUAAAGAAGACCCAAGAAACUUUUUCAAUAUAACUGGAAAGACAUCCUUACUUAUUGACCCAACAAAUUCCCAGUUCCAAUCUCUGGCUUCCACCCACCCAGGCAACAUGAAACUCAAGAAUGAUGGUUGUUUUCUCGGUAACCCAGGCCGAAAUGGAUUUGGCAGUAUUUUCAAAAAUGCCCUAGGAAUUACCAUAUCUUCUCUAUCAGGCUACUUAGGUAUCAUGCACUCUACCAUGACUGAUUCCCUGGCCCCUCUUAGAGGGUCGCAAAAUAUUUAAAGCUACAUGGUGUCCCACCUGACAGCGGACGGGAAUUUAAAGACUGCAAUCUCAUGGGCUUCCAAGAAGUCAAUGCCCUUGGAGACUCAUAUUUUUAAUCACACUUUCCAUCAUUGCAGGUCUCUAUGUUCAACAUUCUUGGAGGGAGGCCAAUACAGUUCCUGAUGAGCUAGCUAAAGGGGGGGCUGCAGUGGGGACCGCAGACUCCACCUAAAUGUUUUAUACUUCUGUAUCAACACUCUUUCCCCUCCCUACAUCCUCGCUCAUG